ACUGGGCAUGUGCUCGUCCAUCUAUUUAUCUUCUCUUGUGCACAUCUUGUAGUCUUGGAUGAACCCUUGCGCAUUCGUGCGGUCUGGGAGCUGCGAAUUAAAACCUUGCUUCUCCUGCUUGUCCAAGGCUAUGUUUUCAUAUACACUAUAAAGUUACAGAAUGUCAAUUAACGACUUGUGCUUGUCACGGUCAUUAAACCUAUACAACUUUCAGCAACGGAUCUCUUGGCUCUCCUAUCGAUGAAGAACGCAGCGAAAUGCGAUAAGUAAUGUGAAUUGCAGAAUUCAGUGAAUCAUCGAAUCUUUGAACGCACCUUGCGCCCUUUGGUAUUCCGAAGGGCAUGCCUGUUUGAGUGUCAUUAAAUUAUCAACCUUGCUCGCUUUUACCGGCUUGAGUUAGGCUUGGAUGUGAGGGUCUUUGCUGGCUUCCUUCAGUGGAUGGUCUGCUCCCUUUAAAUGCAUUAGUGGGAUCUCUUGUGGACCGUCACUUGGUGUGAUAAUUAUCUAUGCCAUCUUGACUUUGAAGCAAACUAAUGGGAACCUGCUCAUAACCGUCCUUUCAGGACAACUCUUGACAUUUUGACCUCAAAUCAGGUAGGACUACCCGCUGAACUUAAGCAUAUCAAUAAGCGGAGGAAAAGAAACUAACAAGGAUUCCCCUAGUAACUGCGAGUGAAGCGGGAAAAGCUCAAAUUUAAAAUCUGGCGG
This 708-nucleotide ribosomal RNA is filed under the name Mycena citrinomarginata. RNAcentral's name for it is "eukaryotic LSU rRNA". The stretch from base 206 to 359 matches the Rfam family "5.8S ribosomal RNA". Lineage: Eukaryota; Fungi; Basidiomycota; Agaricomycetes; Agaricales; Mycenaceae. The record is from RNAcentral.